UAGGCGUAAAUGAUGCGAGUUAAGUGUGGGGCAUCUACGAGAUGGCCCUGUGCUGUAGGGUAGACCGUUAAACUCGCUGCCGUGGGGAGUACGGUCGCAAGGCUAGAAAACUUAAAAGGAAUUGGGCGGGGGAGCACCACAAGAGGUGGAGGCUGCGGUUCAAUUGGACUCAACGCCGGAAAAACUCAUCGGGAGCGACAGCAGUAUGAUUGCCAGGUUGAUGACCUUGCUUGACAAGCUGAGAGGAGGUGCAU
Molecule: ribosomal RNA, 254 nt
Filed under: uncultured archaeon
Lineage: Archaea
Description: partial 16S ribosomal RNA
Rfam family: Archaeal small subunit ribosomal RNA
Source: RNAcentral